RNAcentral lists this ribosomal RNA (253 nucleotides) under uncultured bacterium. Its description in RNAcentral is "partial 16S ribosomal RNA". It matches the Rfam family "Bacterial small subunit ribosomal RNA", at positions 524 to 776 of the family's 1533-position model. The record is from RNAcentral.
UACGGGGGGUGCGAGCGUUGUCCGGAUUCACUGGGCGUAAAGGGCGCGUAGGCGGCUGGCUCAGUCGGGCCUGUAAGUGCGGGGCUCAACCCCGUGAUGGGCUCGGGACGGGCUGGCUGGGGCGCGGUCGAGGGAGACGGAAUGCCGGGUGUAGUGGUGAAGUGCGUAGAGAUCCGGCGGAACACCGGUGGUGAAGACGGUCUCCUGGGCCGAGGGCCGACGCUGAGGCGCGAGAGCGUGGGGAGCGAACCGG